GGAAGGGUCGCAUAGUGGUCUAGUGCGCUCGCUUGGAAAGCGAGUGUGCCGCAAGGCACCGCGAGUUCGAAUCUCGCCCCUUCCG
This is a non-coding RNA of Candidatus Giovannonibacteria bacterium, 85 nucleotides long. The record is from Rfam. NCBI's taxonomy places the organism in Bacteria, Candidatus Giovannoniibacteriota.